Molecule: ribosomal RNA, 253 nt
Filed under: uncultured bacterium
Lineage: Bacteria
Description: partial 16S ribosomal RNA
Rfam family: Bacterial small subunit ribosomal RNA
Source: RNAcentral
UACGAAGGGGGCUAGCGUUGCUCGGAAUCACUGGGCGUAAAGGGCGCGUAGGCGGGUCUUUAAGUCAGGGGUGAAAUCCCGGAGCUCAACUCCGGAACUGCCUUUGAUACUGGAGAUCUUGAGUCCGGGAGAGGUGAGUGGAACUCCGAGUGUAGAGGUGAAAUUCGUAGAUAUUCGGAAGAACACCAGUGGCGAAGGCGGCUCUCUGGGACGUGACUGACGCUGAGACGCGAAAGCGUGGGGAGCGAACAGG